AGAGUUUGAUCAUGGCUCAGGACUAACGCUGGCGGCGUGCCUAACACAUGCAAGUCGAGCGGGAGUAGCAAUACUUCAGCGGCAGACGGGUGAGUAACGCGUGGUCAACCUUCCGUUGAAUGGGGGAUAACUAGCCGAAAGGUUAGCUAAUACCGCAUACCAUCUUCAAGCGGCAUCGCAUGAAGAUGAAAGAAGCAAUU
RNAcentral lists this ribosomal RNA (200 nucleotides) under uncultured bacterium. RNAcentral describes it as "partial 16S ribosomal RNA". It matches the Rfam family "Bacterial small subunit ribosomal RNA", at positions 8 to 214 of the family's 1533-position model. The record is from RNAcentral.